AGCAGUGAGGAAUAUUGCACAAUGGGGGAAACCCUGAUGCAGCAACGCCGCGUGGAGGAUGACGCAUUUCGGUGUGUAAACUCCUUUUAUAUGUCAAGAAAAUGACGGUAGCAUAUGAAUAAGCACCGGCUAACUCCGUGCCAGCAGCCGCGGUAAUACGGAGGGUGCAAGCGUUAUUCGGAAUCACUGGGCGUAAAGGACGCGUAGGCGGGUUGCCAAGUCUGAUGUGAAAUCCUACAGCUUAACUGUAGAACUGCAUUGGAAACUGGUAACCUAGAGUAUGGGAGGGGGAGAUGGAAUUAGUGGUGUAGGGGUAAAAUCCGUAGAUAUCACUAGGAAUACCGAAAGCGAAGGCGAUCUCCUGGAACAUUACUGACGCUAAGGCGUGAAAGCGUGGGGAGCAAACGGGAUUAGAUACCCCGGUAGUCCACGCCCUAAACGAUGAACACUAGUCGUCGGGAUGCUUGUCAUCUCGGUGAUGCACUAACAGAUUAA
Molecule: ribosomal RNA, 495 nt
Filed under: uncultured bacterium
Lineage: Bacteria
Description: bacterial SSU rRNA
Rfam family: Bacterial small subunit ribosomal RNA
Source: RNAcentral